GACAGAGGUGCCAAGCGUUAGGCGGAAUCACUGGGCUUAAAGCGUGUGUAGGCGGAUCGUUAAGUACCUUGUGAAAUCCCACGGCUCAACCGUGGAACUGCUGGGUAUACUGGCGAUCUUGAGCCACCUAGGGGCGAGCGGAACAAGCGGUGGAGCGGUGAAAUGCGUAGAUAUCGUGAGGAACACCAGAGGCGAAGGCGGCUACCUGGACAAUUGCUGACGCUCAGGCACGAAAGCGUGGGGAGCAAAAGGG
This 253-nucleotide ribosomal RNA is filed under the name uncultured bacterium. RNAcentral describes it as "partial 16S ribosomal RNA". It matches the Rfam family "Bacterial small subunit ribosomal RNA", at positions 524 to 776 of the family's 1533-position model. The record is from RNAcentral.